Molecule: ribosomal RNA, 868 nt
Filed under: uncultured bacterium
Lineage: Bacteria
Description: bacterial SSU rRNA
Rfam family: Bacterial small subunit ribosomal RNA
Source: RNAcentral
GAAUCAACGCNGGCGGCGUGCCUAACACAUGCAAGUCGAACGAGAAAGUCCCCGCAAGGGGAUGAGUAAAGUGGCGAACGGGUGAGUAACACGUAGCUAACCUGCCUUCGAGUGGGGGAUAACCUGGGGAAACCCGGGCUAAUACCGCAUAACGCCCCGGGAGCACAUGCUUCUGGGGUCAAAGGCCCGCAAGGGUCGCUGGAGGAGGGGGCUGCGGCCGAUUAGCUAGUUGGUGAGGUAAUGGCCCACCAAGGCGAUGAUCGGUAGCCGGCCUGAGAGGGCGCACGGUCACACUGGCACUGAAACACGGGCCAGACUCCUACGGGAGGCAGCAGUGGGGAAUUUUGCACAAUGCCCGAAAGGGUGAUGCAGCAACGCCGCGUGAGGGAUGAAGGCCUUCGGGUCGUAAACCUCUUUCGACUGGGAAAAACGGGCGGGUGAAUAAUCCGUCCUGAUGGUACCGGUGGAAGAAGCCCCGGCUAACUACGUGCCAGCAGCCGCGGUAAUACGUAGGGGGCGAGCGUUGUUCGGAAUUAUUGGGCGUAAAGGGCGUGUAGGCGGUGCGGUAAGUCGGGCGUUAAAUCUCCAGGCUUAACUUGGAGGGGCCGUCCGAAACUGCCGUGCUAGGGUGCGGGAGAGGGCAGUGGAAUUCCCGGUGUAGCGGUGAAAUGCGUAGAUAUCGGGAGGAACAUCUGUGGCGAAGGCGGCUGCCUGGACCGCAACCGACGCUGAGGCGCGAAAGCUAGGGGAGCAAACAGGAUUAGAUACCCUGGUAGUCCUAGCCCUAAACGAUGAGCACUGGGUGUGGCCCUGCACGGGGCUGUGCCGAAGCUAACGCAUUAAGUGCUCCGCCUGGGGAGUACGGUCG